GUCCGAUGUGUUGAAAACAGUUACUGUAUUCUGACCUGAAAUGCAGGUCUCCAUAAAUUCUUUUAAAAUUCUUGAAUAUGUAGCAGAAGAACUACCAAAUCUCCAGCCACUGUUUCUUAAAGUGUACAGCUUGUUUCUUUUUAUUUAUUCAUACUCCUUCUCUUCUCCCCACCUUUAUUCCUUCUUUUCUUUCUUUAAUUAGUAUCAGUCAAUGUUGGCCGAACCAACUAUUUCUAAACAAGUCAAGAUCCUGCUGUUACAAAAGUUUCACUGAAAAUAACUGUCUGGAAAACACAAAUGCUGUGAAACUACUAAUAGAAAAUUGCAAUGUAAAGCUUUCUGUUUGCCAUAUCAAUUCACCACUGGAGUAAGGUAGAUUUUAACAUUUCUGGUUAAAACGAAGUGAAAUUUCUUAAUUAUUUUAUUCAUCAAAAAUUAAUGGAUAAUCAAACAACAAUUUUCAGAACAGAAAAAAGCUACCAGAAACCAGAAAAUUGAUUCAUUUUCAUUAGUAAAACUAGAGGUUGUGGGCAACUAUUUUAUUUUAUUUUCAGUUUCUCCUAAAGGACAAAACUCUGAAAAAUACAUUUAAAAAUGUGUUGUUUUCUAUUCAUUUAUUUAAUUAGGGGAGGAAGAAAACUCCACAAUCAAAUGAAGUAAAUUAGAGACUCCAAAACAAAUGGCAUUUUACCAAAUGUAUAAUUCAUUUCCCUCCCCAGAACUUGAUCCUGUUAAAGUCCCAGAGAUGAAGCAUGGCAGAAUUAUUUAGCAUAGUUUUUAUCUUUUCUGAAAAGAAAAAUCAGUCAUGUUUAAUUCACAGAUUUAAAACUCUAGUGAUUCUAGCUGACAGGAGAAAUAAAUGAAUGCUUUCUGGGAAGGUAUCACAGAAAAACCAGAAGAGACUUCAAGGGAGGAGUCCCCUGAGUCCAGGGUUGGCAGCAGGCAUCUGAUACUUGACACAUCAUUUGGGAGGCUCAGGGUUCACCUGAGGACUAUUUCUCUCAACUACUGCUCGUAUUUAAAAGCCCAUAUAUUAUAAUGCAUGGGAAAAAGAAAAAGGAUCAUAUAGACUAAUAUAAACAAAAUGGGACAAUGGAAUUUUUUCCUUUUAUAUGAGAGAAAUGAAAUAGAAAAAGAUGCCUACUGAUAUGGUUUGGCUGUGUCCCCACACAAAUCUCAUCUUGAAUUCCUAUGUGUUGUGGGAGGGUAAUUGAAUCAUGGGGGCAGGUCUUUCCUGUGCUGUCCUCGUGAUAGUGAAUAAGUCUCAUGAGAUCUGACGGUUUUAAAAAGAGGAGUUGCUCUGCACAAGGUCUUUUCUCUCUUUGCCUGCUACCAUCCAUUUAAGACGUGACUUGGUCCUCCUUGCCUUCCACCGUGAUUGUGAGGCUUCCCCAGCCCUGUGAACCUGUAAGUCCAUUAAACCUCUUUCUUUUGUAAAUUUCCCUGUCUGGGGUAUGUCUUUAUCAGCAGUGUGAAAAUGGACUAACACACCUACAAACUCUUCAGAGGGACCCCUUUUGACCAUGUCAACAACCUUAAUUUUGACUUGAAAUCCAAACUGAAAUCUGCAUGAAAGCGUAACUCCUCUCUGGUGGUGGACUUAUUUCUUAUCAUUGAUUCAAUUAUGGAAAAGUGUUCAUUUGGGUUCUGUCUGGUACACAAUAUGUAAACUUUGAAUAAUGAUUCUCAGUUUAUGCAAAUUCACUUUUUCCUUGAAAAUAAAAGUCAAAAAAACAAGGAUUUUAAAAAAAUUUUGGAAUAAUUUUAGAUUUGCAGGAAAGCUGCAAAGAUAGUACCAUGAGUUUCCAUAUAUUGCACACCCAGUUUCACCUGUUAUUGACAUCUUUCAUUAGUCUGAUGCAUUUGCCACAACUAAUAAACCAAUAUUGAU
Molecule: long non-coding RNA, 1891 nt
Filed under: Homo sapiens (human)
Lineage: Eukaryota; Metazoa; Chordata; Mammalia; Primates; Hominidae
Description: HSALNT0206591
Source: RNAcentral